GAUGAACGCUGGCGGCGUGCCUAAUACAUGCAAGUCGAGCGAACAGACGAGGAGCUUGCUCCUUUGAUGUUAGCGGCGGACGGGUGAGUAACACGUAGGUAACCUACCUAUAAGACUGGGAUAACUUCGGGAAACCGGAGCUAAUACCGGAUAAUAUUUUGAACCGCAUGGUUCGAUAGUGAAAGACGGCUUUGCUAUCACUUAUAGAUGGACCUGCGCCGUAUUAGCUAGUUGGUAAGGUAACGGCUUACCAAGGCAACGAUACGUAGCCGACCUGAGAGGGUGAUCGGCCACACUGGAACUGAGACACGGUCCAGACUCCUACGGGAGGCAGCAGUAGGGAAUCUUCCGCAAUGGGCGAAAGCCUGACGGAGCAACGCCGCGUGAGUGAUGAAGGUCUUCGGAUCGUAAAACUCUGUUAUUAGGGAAGAACAAACGUGUAAGUAACUGUGCACGUCUUGACGGUACCUAAUCAGAAAGCCACGGCUAACUACGUG
Molecule: ribosomal RNA, 497 nt
Filed under: uncultured bacterium
Lineage: Bacteria
Description: partial 16S ribosomal RNA
Rfam family: Bacterial small subunit ribosomal RNA
Source: RNAcentral